Molecule: ribosomal RNA, 366 nt
Filed under: Streptococcus thermophilus
Lineage: Bacteria; Bacillati; Bacillota; Bacilli; Lactobacillales; Streptococcaceae
Description: bacterial SSU rRNA
Rfam family: Bacterial small subunit ribosomal RNA
Source: RNAcentral
UGCCAUCAUUCAGUUGGGCACUCUAGCGAGACUGCCGGUAAUAAACCGGAGGAAGGUGGGGAUGACGUCAAAUCAUCAUGCCCCUUAUGACCUGGGCUACACACGUGCUACAAUGGUUGGUACAACGAGUUGCGAGUCGGUGACGGCGAGCUAAUCUCUUAAAGCCAAUCUCAGUUCGGAUUGUAGGCUGCAACUCGCCUACAUGAAGUCGGAAUCGCUAGUAAUCGCGGAUCAGCACGCCGCGGUGAAUACGUUCCCGGGCCUUGUACACACCGCCCGUCACACCACGAGAGUUUGUAACACCCGAAGUCGGUGAGGUAACCUUUUGGAGCCAGCCGCUUAAGGGGACAGAAUUUGUCAAAAUAA